RNAcentral lists this ribosomal RNA (2906 nucleotides) under Escherichia coli. RNAcentral describes it as "23S ribosomal RNA". It matches the Rfam family "Bacterial large subunit ribosomal RNA". The record is from RNAcentral. Lineage: Bacteria; Pseudomonadati; Pseudomonadota; Gammaproteobacteria; Enterobacterales; Enterobacteriaceae.
GGUUAAGCGACUAAGCGUACACGGUGGAUGCCCUGGCAGUCAGAGGCGAUGAAGGACGUGCUAAUCUGCGAUAAGCGUCGGUAAGGUGAUAUGAACCGUUAUAACCGGCGAUUUCCGAAUGGGGAAACCCAGUGUGAUUCGUCACACUAUCAUUAACUGAAUCCAUAGGUUAAUGAGGCGAACCGGGGGAACUGAAACAUCUAAGUACCCCGAGGAAAAGAAAUCAACCGAGAUUCCCCCAGUAGCGGCGAGCGAACGGGGAGCAGCCCAGAGCCUGAAUCAGUGUGUGUGUUAGUGGAAGCGUCUGGAAAGGCGCGCGAUACAGGGUGACAGCCCCGUACACAAAAAUGCACAUACUGUGAGCUCGAUGAGUAGGGCGGGACACGUGGUAUCCUGUCUGAAUAUGGGGGGACCAUCCUCCAAGGCUAAAUACUCCUGACUGACCGAUAGUGAACCAGUACCGUGAGGGAAAGGCGAAAAGAACCCCGGCGAGGGGAGUGAAAAAGAACCUGAAACCGUGUACGUACAAGCAGUGGGAGCACAGAGCAAUCUGUGUGACUGCGUACCUUUUGUAUAAUGGGUCAGCGACUUAUAUUCUGUAGCAAGGUUAACCGAAUAGGGGAGCCGAAGGGAAACCGAGUCUUAACUGGGCGUUAAGUUGCAGGGUAUAGACCCGAAACCCGGUGAUCUAGCCAUGGGCAGGUUGAAGGUUGGGUAACACUAACUGGAGGACCGAACCGACUAAUGUUGAAAAAUUAGCGGAUGACUUGUGGCUGGGGGUGAAAGGCCAAUCAAACCGGGAGAUAGCUGGUUCUCCCCGAAAGCUAUUUAGGUAGCGCCUCGUGAAUUCAUCUCCGGGGGUAGAGCACUGUUUCGGCAAGGGGGUCAUCCCGACUUACCAACCCGAUGCAAACUGCGAAUACCGGAGAAUGUUAUCACGGGAGACACACGGCGGGUGCUAACGUCCGUCGUGAAGAGGGAAACAACCCAGACCGCCAGCUAAGGUCCCAAAGUCAUGGUUAAGUGGGAAACGAUGUGGGAAGGCCCAGACAGCCAGGAUGUUGGCUUAGAAGCAGCCAUCAUUUAAAGAAAGCGUAAUAGCUCACUGGUCGAGUCGGCCUGCGCGGAAGAUGUAACGGGGCUAAACCAUGCACCGAAGCUGCGGCAGCGACGCUGAUGCGUUGUUGGGUAGGGGAGCGUUCUGUAAGCCUGUGAAGGUGUGCUGUGAGGUAUGCUGGAGGUAUCAGAAGUGCGAAUGCUGACAUAAGUAACGAUAAAGCGGGUGAAAAGCCCGCUCGCCGGAAGACCAAGGGUUCCUGUCCAACGUUAAUCGGGGCAGGGUGAGUCGACCCCUAAGGCGAGGCCGAAAGGCGUAGUCGAUGGGAAACAGGUUAAUAUUCCUGUACUUGGUGUUACUGCGAAGGGGGGACGGAGAAGGCUAUGUUGGCCGGGCGACGGUUGUCCCGGUUUAAGCGUGUAGGCUGGUUUUCCAGGCAAAUCCGGAAAAUCAAGGCUGAGGCGUGAUGACGAGGCACUACGGUGCUGAAGCAACAAAUGCCCUGCUUCCAGGAAAAGCCUCUAAGCAUCAGGUAACAUCAAAUCGUACCCCAAACCGACACAGGUGGUCAGGUAGAGAAUACCAAGGCGCUUGAGAGAACUCGGGUGAAGGAACUAGGCAAAAUGGUGCCGUAACUUCGGGAGAAGGCACGCUGAUAUGUAGGUGAAGCGACUUGCUCGUGGAGCUGAAAUCAGUCGAAGAUACCAGCUGGCUGCAACUGUUUAUUAAAAACACAGCACUGUGCAAACACGAAAGUGGACGUAUACGGUGUGACGCCUGCCCGGUGCCGGAAGGUUAAUUGAUGGGGUUAGCGCAAGCGAAGCUCUUGAUCGAAGCCCCGGUAAACGGCGGCCGUAACUAUAACGGUCCUAAGGUAGCGAAAUUCCUUGUCGGGUAAGUUCCGACCUGCACGAAUGGCGUAAUGAUGGCCAGGCUGUCUCCACCCGAGACUCAGUGAAAUUGAACUCGCUGUGAAGAUGCAGUGUACCCGCGGCAAGACGGAAAGACCCCGUGAACCUUUACUAUAGCUUGACACUGAACAUUGAGCCUUGAUGUGUAGGAUAGGUGGGAGGCUUUGAAGUGUGGACGCCAGUCUGCAUGGAGCCGACCUUGAAAUACCACCCUUUAAUGUUUGAUGUUCUAACGUUGACCCGUAAUCCGGGUUGCGGACAGUGUCUGGUGGGUAGUUUGACUGGGGCGGUCUCCUCCUAAAGAGUAACGGAGGAGCACGAAGGUUGGCUAAUCCUGGUCGGACAUCAGGAGGUUAGUGCAAUGGCAUAAGCCAGCUUGACUGCGAGCGUGACGGCGCGAGCAGGUGCGAAAGCAGGUCAUAGUGAUCCGGUGGUUCUGAAUGGAAGGGCCAUCGCUCAACGGAUAAAAGGUACUCCGGGGAUAACAGGCUGAUACCGCCCAAGAGUUCAUAUCGACGGCGGUGUUUGGCACCUCGAUGUCGGCUCAUCACAUCCUGGGGCUGAAGUAGGUCCCAAGGGUAUGGCUGUUCGCCAUUUAAAGUGGUACGCGAGCUGGGUUUAGAACGUCGUGAGACAGUUCGGUCCCUAUCUGCCGUGGGCGCUGGAGAACUGAGGGGGGCUGCUCCUAGUACGAGAGGACCGGAGUGGACGCAUCACUGGUGUUCGGGUUGUCAUGCCAAUGGCACUGCCCGGUAGCUAAAUGCGGAAGAGAUAAGUGCUGAAAGCAUCUAAGCACGAAACUUGCCCCGAGAUGAGUUCUCCCUGACCCUUUAAGGGUCCUGAAGGAACGUUGAAGACGACGACGUUGAUAGGCCGGGUGUGUAAGCGCAGCGAUGCGUUGAGCUAACCGGUACUAAUGAACCGUGAGGCUUAACCUU